UGUCACGGAUAGCGGUGAUUAAAGCUCUAUCGAGUUUUUGCGUAAGCAAAAAUACUCGAAGAUGAAAAAUGUACACGGAUGUAUAUUUUUCAUCGA
Molecule: small RNA, 96 nt
Filed under: uncultured Treponema sp.
Lineage: Bacteria; Pseudomonadati; Spirochaetota; Spirochaetia; Treponematales; Treponemataceae
Description: TD-2 RNA
Rfam family: TD-2 RNA
About the family: non coding RNA found in Treponema denticola
Source: RNAcentral